Molecule: ribosomal RNA, 189 nt
Filed under: uncultured bacterium
Lineage: Bacteria
Description: partial 16S ribosomal RNA
Rfam family: Bacterial small subunit ribosomal RNA
Source: RNAcentral
CCUACGGGAGGCAGCAGUGGGGAAUAUUGGACAAUGGGGGCAAGCCUGAUCCAGCCAUGCCGCGUGUGUGAAGAAGGCCUUCGGGUUGUAAAGCACUUUCAGCGAGGAGGAACGGCCUAGUAGUUAAUACCCAUUAGGAAAGACUCACUCGCAGAAGAAGCACCGGCUAACUCCGUGCCAGCAGCCGCG